Molecule: non-coding RNA, 331 nt
Organism: Carica papaya (papaya)
Lineage: Eukaryota; Viridiplantae; Streptophyta; Magnoliopsida; Brassicales; Caricaceae
Source: RefSeq, a predicted model, not a curated record
UUUCCUUUUCUUCCAUCACGGCCAUUUAUAAGACUUCUAGUUUUUAGCUAUAGGGCAAGGCCGAACCCCAACGCUCUCUCUCUCUCUCGAUUCGAAAAGAAGCCCGUUACCGCACUGUCUAUCGCCGCCGCUAUGUCUCAGGUGGAUAACAGAAAUUCCUCCGCGGCCAAGCGUGCUAGAACUGAUGGUAGUAGAAGAGAAGAUGAUUGGACAUGUCCUAGUUGUGGCAAUGUCAAUUUUUCAUUUAGGACAACUUGUAAUAUGCGCAAUUGUACUCAACCCAGGCCAGCAGAUCAUAAUUCAGUAAGUCAACCAUACUAACUAUAUACGA